ACACAGCUGAUGAAUCUGAAAUAGGAUGAAACGCGCGUCCUGGAU
Molecule: non-coding RNA, 45 nt
Organism: Schistosoma haematobium
Lineage: Eukaryota; Metazoa; Platyhelminthes; Trematoda; Strigeidida; Schistosomatidae
Source: Rfam